CCCAAGCGUUUAGAGAUCCUGAGACCUCAUCCUCUGAGACGAUCAUCACCAUGUUUGCUGUGAAAGCAGUUUGCCUCCUCGCCACCAUCGCUAUACUUGUUGCAUUUGUGGCUGCGGGAGCUCCGAAUAAGAGAAUCUGCACAAUAUCAGUGUUUGGGCCAAUCUGUAAUGGCCAAUAAAGAUGAAGAGAUG
Long non-coding RNA from Polypterus senegalus (gray bichir), 192 nucleotides. RefSeq lists it as uncharacterized. The transcript is spliced from 4 exons. NCBI's taxonomy places the organism in Eukaryota, Metazoa, Chordata, Cladistia, Polypteriformes, Polypteridae. The record is from RefSeq and is a predicted model, not a curated record.